This is a non-coding RNA of Thalictrum thalictroides, 84 nucleotides long. NCBI's taxonomy places the organism in Eukaryota, Viridiplantae, Streptophyta, Magnoliopsida, Ranunculales, Ranunculaceae. The record is from the annotation of a GenBank genome assembly.
GGGUAUGAUGAAGUUUGCACUGGGCUCUGAGCAGUUAAACUGCCUCUAUUGAUGAAAUGCAGCCUAGAAAGCUAUUUCUGACUC